GCCCCGGUAGUUAAAUGGAUAUAACUGCGGACUUCUAAGCCGUUAUUCGAGGUUCGAUUCCUCGCCGGGGCA
The sequence is a transfer RNA, 72 nucleotides long. It matches the Rfam family "tRNA". Rfam says of the family: Transfer RNA (tRNA) molecules are approximately 80 nucleotides in length. Their secondary structure includes four short double-helical elements and three loops (D, anti-codon, and T loops). Further hydrogen bonds mediate the characteristic L-shaped molecular structure. tRNAs have two regions of fundamental functional importance: the anti-codon, which is responsible for specific mRNA codon recognition, and the 3' end, to which the tRNAs corresponding amino acid is attached (by aminoacyl-tRNA synthetases). tRNAs cope with the degeneracy of the genetic code in two manners: having more than one tRNA (with a specific anti-codon) for a particular amino acid; and 'wobble' base-pairing, i.e. permitting non-standard base-pairing at the 3rd anti-codon position.